UCUUUUGUGUUUCUCCACAAGACAGAGCUGGUCACUUCCAUCCAGAUGACUGAGAGGAACUCAAAAAAUGUAUACACAAGCCAGGAGGCAGCACUUCAACAGAGCCAGCAAGUUUAGGGCCUUAGGACAUAUAAAGUACAGAAAACGGUCCCUGGGAAGAUCAGGGUUCUCUUGAAUGUCCUUCUAUCUUUGGUAGAGUAAGGGAUUUUCUUGACUAUUUUUUUCAAUUUGAGAAGGUAAAAAAGAUUUUGGAGUUCACGUAGAAUAUUCCCUCUACAAAUCCAAUAAAGGUCUCUGCAGCGGGACCUUUUGCCAACUUCCCUUGUCUGUCUCACAAAGAAACCCAUCCACCACACAGCGACAGACUGUCUCACCUCCUCUAUGGUAAACUUCAACAGAAGCCCCAUCCACCACACAGCGACAGACUGUCUCACCUCUGUGGUGGA
Perognathus longimembris pacificus (Pacific pocket mouse) is the source of this 446-nucleotide long non-coding RNA. RefSeq lists it as uncharacterized. The transcript is spliced from 3 exons. The record is from RefSeq and is a predicted model, not a curated record. Lineage: Eukaryota; Metazoa; Chordata; Mammalia; Rodentia; Heteromyidae.